Molecule: ribosomal RNA, 495 nt
Filed under: uncultured Desulfobulbus sp.
Lineage: Bacteria; Pseudomonadati; Thermodesulfobacteriota; Desulfobulbia; Desulfobulbales; Desulfobulbaceae
Description: bacterial SSU rRNA
Rfam family: Bacterial small subunit ribosomal RNA
Source: RNAcentral
GCUCAGAAACUUAAAGGAAUUGACGGGGCCCGCACAAGCGGUGGAGUAUGUGGUUUAAUUCGAUGCAACGCGAAGAACCUUACCUGGUCUUGACAUCCCGGAGACCCUUAGGAAACUAGGGGUGCUUCCAUCUGGAAGAAUCUGGAGACAGGUGCUGCAUGGCUGUCGUCAGCUCGUGUCGUGAGAUGUUGGGUUAAGUCCCGCAACGAGCGCAACCCUUGCCUUUAGUUGCCAGCAGUUCGGCUGGGCACUCUAAAGGGACUGCCGGUGUUAAACCGGAGGAAGGUGGGGAUGACGUCAAGUCCUCAUGGCCUUUAUGACCAGGGCUACACACGUACUACAAUGGCCGAUACAAAGGGCAGCGACACUGCGAGGUGAAGCCAAUCCCGUAAAAUCGGUCUCAGUCCGGAUUGGAGUCUGCAACUCGACUCCAUGAAGUUGGAAUCGCUAGUAAUCGUGGAUCAGCAUGCCACGGUGAAUACGUUCCCGGGCCUU